Molecule: ribosomal RNA, 395 nt
Filed under: uncultured bacterium
Lineage: Bacteria
Description: bacterial SSU rRNA
Rfam family: Bacterial small subunit ribosomal RNA
Source: RNAcentral
GACGAACGCUGGCGGCGUGCUUAACACAUGCAAGUCGAGCGGUAAGGCCCCUUCGGGGGUACACGAGCGGCGAACGGGUGAGUAACACGUGGGUGACCUGCCCUCAGCUCUGGGAUAAGCCUGGGAAACUGGGUCUAAUACCGGAUAUGACUCCAUGAUGCAUGUUGUGGGGUGGAAAGCCUUGUGCGGCUGAGGAUGGGCCCGCGGCCUAUCAGCUUGUUGGUGGGGGAUGGCCUACCAAGGCGACGACGGGUAGCCGGCCUGAGAGGGCGACCGGCCACACUGGGACUGAGACACGGCCCAGACUCCUACGGGAGGCAGCAGUGGGGAAUCUUGCGCAAUGGGCGAAAGCCUGACGCAGCGACGCCGCGUGAGGGAUGACGGCCUGGUGUAAC